GUUUGGGCUUAAAAGGAGGAAAAGAGACGUGAAAGUGAGCUCUUACGAGUGAGGAGGUGAUAACGCCCAAUAGACUGGCCAUUGUGCAUUCAGCCCUCACAUACAGAAAAUACUGAAUUCUAGCCAAGAAGGACAGAGUAUUUUGCUUUGUUUGUGAACAGAAGAGCGUUGCCUUGAGGACUUCCUCAUUAAUGCCAAUAAAAGCAGAACCCAGACAAGCUUGCCUGACCGCACUUCCCAGCUGUAAGGAGCGGAUUCCAUCUGACUGUUAAACAGAACCACAUUUCCAAAGGGAUCUAUAAAAGGCAUGAUGAGGUAGCCAGAGUGGAUUCCCCGCACUUAUUAGACCAUACUCUGCAGAGCAUAAGUGGCAUCCUGAAAUACGUGUCCAUCAGAGAUGUGAAUUCUGGCUGCUGUUUUUAGACUACUUGUAAGUUUAUUCACAAGACCUAUUUGGAGCCCCCUAAGCAGAAUCUACAUUCAUCAAAGUCAUGCUUCUAUUGCUGUUUGUCCAGGAUUCUUGUAUCUACCUUUGCAUUGAACCAAAUCCUGAUUUUGAGUUGCCUACACUGAAAUAUGGAUAUGGCAUAUUUGUAAAUGGGAGAAGAAAGUUACAUGAGUCACAUGAAGAAUGUAUCAUACAUGUAUAUCACCUUCCACUACCUUUCUUGAUAUCUGGCACAUCUGAAACUUUACAGUUGAGAAGAAAUGAAAAAAUUAGAAAAACAGAUUGUCUUGAUGCAAAGCAUGGAGAACUGCAGCGCAUACCACUGCAGGCACUGCCGGGCAAGAUCUGAGCUGAGAAGAACACAACCUGUGUUCGCACUGGCUAACACACACUGGUGAUGUGCGUAUCUGUACAAGCUCCUCUGGAAGAAGUCUAGCUGCUGCUUGUUAAGCAGCUUCUUUUUUCCUGAUGCUUACUGGAAGGAAGCUGUAUAGUCUAGGAUCCUGGAGCUUAUCUAUUCACUUGCCAUCUCCUAUUAGAAGAGUGAAUCCAGGAUGUCCACUUCUGAAGGACACAGGUCUUUCUAGAAAGGAUAUACAGCUCUCCGUGUUAGUGAAUUUCAAGGACUCUUGCUGUUGGCUGGCAGCACUUCUCACCACCUUUAUCAGUAACAGGAGAGGGAGUCCUCUGUGUGGUCUGAGAUACCCCUGCCACCCAAGGGAAAGUCUUGGUGAAUUCUGUGAGCGCCACCUGAAAGCAGAGGGCUUUCUGCUGUAUGCUCUGGUGUGA
RNAcentral lists this long non-coding RNA (1237 nucleotides) under Anas platyrhynchos platyrhynchos (common mallard). Its description in RNAcentral is "lncRNA (ENSAPLG00000018321.1)". The record is from RNAcentral. Lineage: Eukaryota; Metazoa; Chordata; Aves; Anseriformes; Anatidae.